RNAcentral lists this transfer RNA (74 nucleotides) under Candidatus Woesearchaeota archaeon. RNAcentral describes it as "tRNA-Cys". It matches the Rfam family "tRNA". From Rfam's summary of the family: Transfer RNA (tRNA) molecules are approximately 80 nucleotides in length. Their secondary structure includes four short double-helical elements and three loops (D, anti-codon, and T loops). Further hydrogen bonds mediate the characteristic L-shaped molecular structure. tRNAs have two regions of fundamental functional importance: the anti-codon, which is responsible for specific mRNA codon recognition, and the 3' end, to which the tRNAs corresponding amino acid is attached (by aminoacyl-tRNA synthetases). tRNAs cope with the degeneracy of the genetic code in two manners: having more than one tRNA (with a specific anti-codon) for a particular amino acid; and 'wobble' base-pairing, i.e. permitting non-standard base-pairing at the 3rd anti-codon position. The record is from RNAcentral. Lineage: Archaea; Nanobdellati; Candidatus Woesearchaeota.
GGCGGUAUAGCCAAAUCUGGUUAAGGCAAUCGGCUGCAACCCGGUGAUUCUGAGUUCAAAUCUCAGUACCGCCU